AUACACAAAAAGAGGCCCAAAAUUCUCCGUAGCGUAUUGGUAUGUAUUGUGCCGAUGCCUACCGAUACGGAUACGUAUCGGCCGAUACGGCACGAUACGCACCGAUACUUAAAACCAUGCUUGGAGGAGUUCCACCCACCCAGCUAUCCAUCUGUAGACUAUCGUAUUCAGCCUUCUUACCUACCUCCUCCUCCCUUUGCUCAAGGUGUAAAUGCCUCACAUGUCUCCCAGCCACCAAAAGUUUACAACUUUCCAGUUGCAGGCACAAACUUUAGUUCUUAGUCUACCCCCUUGGAAAGGUUUCCUCCCUCCUUCGCUCCAUUACAUGGCCCCCAUUGUCUUUUUAUGGGCCCACAAAAACCCUCUUGGACCUCCUUUCAGGCUUCUUCUUCUUCUUCUUAUGGUUUUUGUCCUGCUCAGUUUCCACAGAAUAGCAUGCAUUCUAGAAAUGACUUCCCUCGUGCCAUAACACGGCCCUACCAACAUGAAGAGCAUGCUCACUUUGGUUGAGUUUCAUCCUCUUUUCUUUUCCUCCAAUGGAGGAGCCUCAUCGUCAUCCUCUUCAUUUUGGUACACCCGCGAAGGUUGACUCAUCAAGAUACACAUCAAGUUUAUUAGAGAGUAAUAAGCUAGCUUUCUUAUCUGAUCUUGGAGGAUCAAAAAUUUCAAACACAACUCAUUAUAACCCAUUUGCAUCCACAUUUGAACAGCCACUGGAGGUUCAAAGUUCAAUUCGAGUUUUGCAGGUGUGAAUUAGACACAAACUAUAGUGGCAAGUAUUGAACGUCUUUUGGUCUGAGCCAUGUUCGAGUGGAUGGGUAGGGUGUUGUUGGGCUUUGUUCAAGGCAGACAGCUUCACCAUCGGAUUCUGGUAGGCCUAGAGGGCAGGUUUUACCCAGGGCUGAUGAUUCUUUGCUGGCUGCUGAUCAUGCACACCCAAGGGAUGCUCUAGUGUAAACUUUUACUGGCACCCGGUUUCAGUAUGUGAGAGAGCCUUAUUCAAACACAUCGAGGAAAUAUGGCCGUGUUCAAGAACAACAUCUCAACAGUGAUGACCUGGUAUCAAGACUUACUGGAUCACAUAAGCCUUUGGAUAUAGCUGAAAACAAUAAACAGAAUGAAGUUGUAGCUGCUGCGGUUGUAACCAAGUCUGCAGAAAAUGAUGAGUUUGGUGAGACAGCAUAAGUGGAUGCUGUGGAGAGUGGGAGCCCUCAGCCAGGGGAUGGGAAGAACCGGAGUUCAGGUAGUCCAAAUGUGGCCACAGAUUUCGUAAAGGAGGUUUUGAAGCCAUCAUGGCGACAGGGUAACUUGAGCAAGGACGCUUUCAAGACUAUUGUCAAGAAAACUAUUGAUAAGGUAUCUGGCGCUAUGAAGAGCCACCAAAUAUACCCAAGUCCCAGGUGAAAAUAAAUCAAUAUGUUGAGUCCUCCCAGCGAAAGCUUACUAAACUUGUGAUGGGCAUUGACUUUUGUGCUGGCUAUUUCUUACUUGGAAAGAAAAAUUGAUAAGGAUUUUAAGGAUCAGCUCUAAAGAUAUGCAUCAUGGACAUUUGCAUUUCUUAGACAUCGUUGGUGGUCUAGGGAACUGGAGACUGCAGAACAUGGUUCCCGAAGUAAUCAAAUCGAUUCUGGAUUAAAUGCUCGUGAUGUGGCACUUGUAUUGGAGUUGAGGUUGGUUGCGAGUCUAGGAUAUGGUUACGAGUGAAGCUAUAUGAAAUCAUAGAAAGAUAACGUAUGCCGUAAGAUUGAGGAGUACAUGUUAAUGAGUCGAGCUGAGGGGGUAUUCUCGAGAAAAUUCAUUGAGUUUCCACAUUUUCCCAUUUGUUUUUUGUUUGAAUUAUGAUUUUUGACGUUAUUAUGUUUGCUUCUUCUACGGAGAUGUGCGUGCUACUGUUCCAAAUGGAAGAAGUGGGUAUAUACCUGAAUAAUGAUUUGUUUUUUUAUCUACUUUGUUCUGCUCCUUGGUAUUGAGUAUAAGCAUGGUUCUCUCGAAUGGUCGUUAAAUCAAUAUUUAGUUGAAUAUAGUUUUCAACAUGAUUAAUUGUGAGUUCAGGACAUGGUUAUAGGUGAAGCAACAUAGAAUAUCCUUGGUUUGCUGCUUUGUUUUUGUUUUUUUUUUUUUUAUUUUUUUUUAUUUUGUUUUAUUUUUUUAUGCAAGAUUUCACUGUUUUGUUUUUAAAGGGUCUAAUUAUUUGAUUUUUGAUACGUACUGGUUGCAUAGUGAUGCACAUAGAAUUAUAAGGCUAGACACGGGAUUGAGGAAUGCAUGGUUAAUAAGGACUAGCAGAGUCUUGGAGGGGGUCUUCUUAAGGACAUCAAACUCAUCAUUGUUUGUAUAUAUUGUAUUAAUUUUUAGGUUUAGUUUGAAUUUCUGUCGAUAUAGUGAUCUUAAAGUUUGAAUUGAACCAUGUAAUUUGUUUCCUCUUCAGGUUGAGUGUGGAAUCUUGAAUAUCUAAGGUUGGAUUGUCCUAGGAUGUGUUUCAGAGUUUGAAAGUGGGGGUUUCUUCCUUAUUUUGAUAUUAUAUUAUACUAUGGUAUUCUUAUUGGUAAAGUAUUUGAAUUAUUGUUGUAUCAGGAAUGUCGAUCGAGUAAAUGAAAAUAUAAGUGGCUGCUUACUGAUGCUAAAAAGAUUGAGUUUCCUUUCUCCAUUUGCUUUUUUUUUUUUUUUUUUUUUCCACCUCUUCUACUA
This is a long non-coding RNA of Macadamia integrifolia, 2688 nucleotides long. RefSeq lists it as uncharacterized. The transcript is spliced from 6 exons. The record is from RefSeq and is a predicted model, not a curated record. Lineage: Eukaryota; Viridiplantae; Streptophyta; Magnoliopsida; Proteales; Proteaceae.